This 402-nucleotide ribosomal RNA is filed under the name uncultured marine bacterium. RNAcentral describes it as "bacterial SSU rRNA". It matches the Rfam family "Bacterial small subunit ribosomal RNA", at positions 391 to 784 of the family's 1533-position model. The record is from RNAcentral.
GCAAUGCCGCGUGUAGUGAUGAAGGCCUUCGGGUUGUAAAGCACUUUUGUCCGGGAAGAAAUCCUUGGCUCUAAUACAGUCGGGGGAUGACGGUACCGGAAGAAUAAGCACCGGCUAACUACGUGCCAGCAGCCGCGGUAAUACGUAGGGUGCGAGCGUUAAUCGGAAUUACUGGGCGUAAAGCGUGCGCAGGCGGUUUGCUAAGACCGAUGUGAAAUCCCCGGGCUCAACCUGGGAACUGCAUUGGUGACUGGCAGGCUAGAGUAUGGCAGAGGGGGGUAGAAUUCCACGUGUAGCAGUGAAAUGGGUAGAGAUGUGGAGGAAUACCGAUGGCGAAGGCAGCCCCCUGGGCCAAUACUGACGCUCAUGCACGAAAGCGUGGGGAGCAAACAGGAUUAGAUA